CCUUGAUAAAAUCCAAGAGCUAAAACUUGAGCUCUGUACCAUCAUUAUCCCAAUUUGAUCGGAAAACCCAGAUCAAUGGACCAACUAAUCUUAAGCCGAUUCGGUGGUCCUUGAUCAUUAGCUCACCUACUAUGAUUAAAGCAGCGGCCGGUACCACAUUUCUCUGCAAAAAGACCAAGCGCAUCCAAUGGCCGAUGGACCAUACCUGUUUUUUUAGGCAGGAGAUUGGACCAUUGUCUGAUAUUAAACUGUGGUACCAAACUACCAAUAGCAAGUAGAAGAAAACAUGUGAAGUGACUCAAAAUGUAAUGCAUUAUUAACAUCCCGGCCUCAGAUAGAAAAUUCCAAUCACAUAGCCCAAUCUUACAAACCACCAAGAACAAGAAUAAUGUAAAGAACAAUUAAACUAGUCGGAGAGCAAAGAAAUUUAAAGCAUGAAGAGGAAGAAUGAAAGAAAAGAAAAGGGGGAAAAAAAAAGAAGAGAAAAACAUGCACAUGCUGAUAUGCUAGCAUCCACGUUCAUCGUGUCCGUACGACGUCUUACAAGAGGAAGCUAACAACGGCGGCCAGUCCGGCGACGCCCCACCCGACGGCCCUCGCGCUGGCGGCGUCCGUGGGCUGGGCGUCCUCCGACCCGGCCGGCCCGGCGGCGGCAUCCGUGGCGCCGCCC
Molecule: long non-coding RNA, 670 nt
Filed under: Oryza brachyantha (malo sina)
Lineage: Eukaryota; Viridiplantae; Streptophyta; Magnoliopsida; Poales; Poaceae
Description: long non-coding RNA (OBRA_LNC000204)
Source: RNAcentral